GUGACUGCGUACCUUUUGUAUAAUGGGUCAGCGACUUAUAUUCUGUAGCAAGGUUAACCGAAUAGGGGAGCCGGAGGGAAACCGAGUCUUAAUUGGGCGUUAAGUUGCAGGGUAUAGACCCGAAACCCGGUGAUCUAGCCAUGGGCAGGUUGAAGGUUGGGUAACACUAACUGGAGGACCGAACCGACUAAUGUUGAAAAAUUAGCGGAUGACCUGUGGCUGGGGGUGAAAGGCCAAUCAAACCGGGAGAUAGCUGGUUCUCCCCGAAAGCUAUUUAGGUAGCGCCUCGUGAAUUCAUCUCCGGGGGUAGAGCACUGUUUCGGCUAGGGGGCCAUCCCGGCUUACCAACCCGAUGCAAACUGCGAAUACCGGAGAAUGUUAUCACGGGAGACACACGGCGGGUGCUAACGUCCGUCGUGAAGAGGGAAACAACCCAGACCGCCAGCUAAGGUCCCAAAGUCAUGGUUAAGUGGGAAACGAUGUGGGAAGGCCCAGACAGCCAGGAUGUUGGCUUAGAAGCAGCCAUCAUUUAAAGAAAGCGUAAUAGCUCACUGGUCGAGUCGGCCUGCGCGGAAGAUGUAACGGGGCUAAACCAUGCACCGAAGCUGCGGCAGCGACACUCAGGUGUUGUUGGGUAGGGGAGCGUUCUGUAAGCCUGCGAAGGUGGCCUGUGAGGGUUGCUGGAGGUAUCAGAAGUGCGAAUGCUGACAUAAGUAACGAUAAAGCGGGUGAAAAGCCCGCUCGCCGGAAGACCAAGGGUUCCUGUCCAACGUUAAUCGGGGCAGGGUGAGUCGACCCCUAAGGCGAGGCCGAAAGGCGUAGUCGAUGGGAAACGGGUUAAUAUUCCCGUACUUGGUGUUACUGCGAAGGGGGGACGGAGAAGGCUAUGUUGGCCGGGCGACGGUUGUCCCGGUUUAAGCGUGUAGGUGUGUGUUCCAGGUAAAUCCGGUUCACUUUAACACUGAGGCGUGACGACGAGGCACUACGGUGCUGAAGCAACAAAUGCCCUGCUUCCAGGAAAAGCCUCUAAGCAUCAGGUAACAUCAAAUCGUACCCCAAACCGACACAGGUGGUCAGGUAGAGAAUACCAAGGCGCUUGAGAGAACUCGGGUGAAGGAACUAGGCAAAAUGGUGCCGUAACUUCGGGAGAAGGCACGCUGACAUGUAGGUGAAGUGAUUUACUCAUGGAGCUGAAGUCAGUCGAAGAUACCAGCUGGCUGCAACUGUUUAUUAAAAACACAGCACUGUGCAAACACGAAAGUGGACGUAUACGGUGUGACGCCUGCCCGGUGCCGGAAGGUUAAUUGAUGGGGUCAGCGCAAGCGAAGCUCCUGAUCGAAGCCCCGGUAAACGGCGGCCGUAACUAUAACGGUCCUAAGGUAGCGAAAUUCCUUGUCGGGUAAGUUCCGACCUGCACGAAUGGCGUAAUGAUGGCCAGGCUGUCUCCACCCGAGACUCAGUGAAAUUGAACUCGCUGUGAAGAUGCAGUGUACCCGCGGCAAGACGGAAAGACCCCGUGAACCUUUACUAUAGCUUGACACUGAACAUUGAGCCUUGAUGUGUAGGAUAGGUGGGAGGCUUUGAAGUGUGGACGCCAGUCUGCAUGGAGCCGACCUUGAAAUACCACCCUUUAAUGUUUGAUGUUCUAACGUGGACCCGUGAUCCGGGUUGCGGACAGUGUCUGGUGGGUAGUUUGACUGGGGCGGUCUCCUCCUAAAGAGUAACGGAGGAGCACGAAGGUUGGCUAAUCCUGGUCGGACAUCAGGAGGUUAGUGCAAUGGCAUAAGCCAGCUUGACUGCGAGCGUGACGGCGCGAGCAGGUGCGAAAGCAGGUCAUAGUGAUCCGGUGGUUCUGAAUGGAAGGGCCAUCGCUCAACGGAUAAAAGGUACUCCGGGGAUAACAGGCUGAUACCGCCCAAGAGUUCAUAUCGACGGCGGUGUUUGGCACCUCGAUGUCGGCUCAUCACAUCCUGGGGCUGAAGUAGGUCCCAAGGGUAUGGCUGUUCGCCAUUUAAAGUGGUACGCGAGCUGGGUUUAGAACGUCGUGAGACAGUUCGGUCCCUAUCUGCCGUGGGCGCUGGAGAACUGAGGGGGGCUGCUCCUAGUACGAGAGGACCGGAGUGGACGCAUCACUGGUGUUCGGGUUGUCAUGCCAAUGGCACUGCCCGGUAGCUAAAUGCGGAAGAGAUAAGUGCUGAAAGCAUCUAAGCACGAAACUUGCCCCGAGAUGAGUUCUCCCUGAGACUUUAGGUCUCCUGAAGGAACGUUGAAGACGACGACGUUGAUAGGCCGGGUGUGUAAGCGCAGCGAUGCGUUGAGCUAACCGGUACUAAUGAACCGUGAGGCUUAACCUUAC
Molecule: ribosomal RNA, 2356 nt
Filed under: Salmonella enterica subsp. enterica serovar Montevideo str. IA_2010008284
Lineage: Bacteria; Pseudomonadati; Pseudomonadota; Gammaproteobacteria; Enterobacterales; Enterobacteriaceae
Description: bacterial LSU rRNA
Rfam family: Bacterial large subunit ribosomal RNA
Source: RNAcentral